Molecule: long non-coding RNA, 1912 nt
Organism: Myotis davidii
Lineage: Eukaryota; Metazoa; Chordata; Mammalia; Chiroptera; Vespertilionidae
Exons: 2
Source: RefSeq, a predicted model, not a curated record
UUUCCUCGGCCCCCGCCUCCUCCCAGGGUGCUGGCGUGGGUCCCUCGCGGUCCGGCGGCGACUGUAAAUAGAGCCUGGAUGUUGUUUACAUGAAGGAUCCGGCGGGAGGAGCCUGCGAGGAGGAGGAGGAGAAGGAGGAGGAGGAGGACGAGGACGCAGAGAGGAAGACCGGAGUCCCCGCCGCGGCGGCGGGCCAGGGCUAGGGUUCACCUGUUUAUUUUCAUCAGCCAGAGCUUGCAGUGUUUUACGUAGUCUUGAGGCUGUUUCUUUUAUUAGAAACAUUGGGGAUGGGGCCGUAUUGCUGUAAUUUAUGCCGGUCCAGGUCGGUUUUCAAGAAGGGGGAGGGGACUUGGCGGACACCGCCUGCUCCUGGCCUUAGCUGACCCCAGGCUGCUCCCUGCCUUCCCGGGCCAAAGAAUCCUUUCCUUCGCUCAGCCGCCUGCUCGCCAGAAGCCACCUUCUUGGAGAAGGACCACACCUGUGCUUAUUCCCGCUUUGGAGGAGAGGUGAGCCAAGAAACCAAGGAAUCCUGUGUUCCCCCAGAGCUUUUAGCCAACCCCGCAUCCCGGAAUUGGCCAGAAAGUGCUGCUUUCACCUGCCGGUUGCACUGGGCACAUCCAUCCCCUGCCUGGCAAGUAGUGGUCUACAGAUGUGUUGGGAUUUUCUUUUUCCUCUGGACCUGCACCCCUACCAAGGAGCAACUACCUACUGCGUUUAGAUUGAGAGAUAAAGGUUCCUCCCCCCCACACACACACCCCUCUUGGCCCAGUGCUGUUAUUUAUUCCGAACUGGGUCUUCUAAUGGAAUCCUCAGCUGUCCCCUUCCAGUCCCCGUCAUUCUUCCUCUAAGAGCAUAACCCAGAAUCAGGCCUGAGCAGUCUCUGGCUCUCUUGCCCUCAGCCCCACCCUAGCCCCUCUUCCUUUUCCAGAGCCAAACAGGCCUCCCAAAGCAGAAGGCACACCCAGCCCCAAUUCUAACCGUACAAAAGGGAGGAGAAAACAGUGGAAGGGAAGAGACCCAAGGGUGUCCCUUCUGUUGUGAAUAUCCCCCGCAGUGUCUCCCUCUUCAAGUUUCCUAGACCUGUCACACCUUUAUUCUCCGCGGUGCCUCCCACCUCUUUGCCCCUAGCCCUAUGAUAGAUAUUUGGGGAGGUGGGGAUGGUGGGUGGAGAACGAGGUUGUCACCCUUGUUCCCUGGUUUGAGCCAGUUUCCUUCUCCCAGUCUUUUCAUUUCUGAGAUGCUUAAAGAGUGUAAUAUGUAAAUAUGUUCUCGUGCCUAUUUGAACUUGUUUUGUUGCUGGCUAAGGAAUAGCUGGGACUCAAAAGGGGAGAGAGGGGAAAGAGAUGAGUAAAUGUUCCCCCUAAUUUCCACCAUCAGAGCAUCCCUGGAGUUGCCAGAGAGGACCCUUCUAUAAAAGCCAGCGUCUCCCUUCCGUGACAUCACACCUAAGCUCUUCCAACUUUAGCUUCAGAACAGGAAGAAGGCUCAAAAUAGAACUACCUUAGGAAUCCAGCGCCUUUAGAAGAUCAACUUUUAAAUCAGCUGCAGGGGGAACACUGAACUUGGACAUGGGGAGAGAACGCUGUAGUGUUUGUAAUUGGUUCCUUUGGGUAAGGGUGGGGGCAUGUAUAUUCAGAAAAGCUUUUCUCAAGACAACUUAGGUACCUAGACCAAUGAAUGAUUAAUAGGAUGGUUCGAGAUUCAUUUAUUGAAUUAUUCAUGUUUCAUUAUGUCAACAACAAGCACUGUUCAGAAUGAAGUAGAGGGGCUCCUGCAAUGUGGGCUAGAGAGGAUGCUAGAGAUAAAGAAGGUUGUGGGGCGGCGGUAGACUAGGCAGGAGCACUUGGGGUGAAGCACCCAUGGGUAUAGUGACAGCUACUGUGCCUAUGGAAGUCCAGAAGCUCAAUAUAAA